CUCAAUGGUAAAUAAAUUUCACUGUUGACGCGGCACCACCACUUAGUUCGAAAGUUUCACCAUCAAUACGUUUCAUAUGCUGUGAACUUCAGUUGAUUUUGUGGAAAUUUUAGUUAAACCUGAAAGAUUUUUAAACUCUUUUGGGUUCGGAAAUAGCUCCUCCAUCAGGCAGCAGAAGAUUUACCUAUUUGUUGCCUCCUUUUCAUCAGGGCGGAAGCUACAAUUUUCCCGCUUAGAGUUAACCAAAAUUUGCCUCUCGUUGCAAGCUAGCUAGCUCUUUCUAAACUAAUGAGAAAGGCAACCUGGAUUGCAUUUUGCAAUGAGGAAACACAUUUCUAGCUCAUUUUAGAAAUAAAAUGUGUGCCAUUAGUUUUCCUAUGAAGAAGUUAAAAAUUUUAGUUAAAGUAUUAAAUUAGCAAAUUAAAUUAGUUUCCCCAGGUGCUUUUAUGGAUGAGCUAAAAUCAAAGUUUAGUCCAAAACUUUAAGCAAGAAACAGGGCUUUCUAAACUAGGUCCAGUUUUCGUAUUUGGCGCCAAUUGCAUUUUAGUUCACGAAUGGACUGCUUCAAGCGCUACCGUCGUUUUGUUUACUUAUUCACCCCUAACCUGUAAAUAAUCAUGUCCCAACAGUCCCAACCUUUGACUUUGGGCCGUUUGAAAAGAACUGAACUUUUUACUUUCUCGCUCCUUUUUUUCUUUACAAUUGUAGUUUGAAGGCAAAGGAAUUUCGGUAUUCUACCAAUUGGCAUCCUAGUUGUCCAUAGGAGAGAAGUUUCUGCUUGACUGCUGUAUCAUUCAAGUAUGGGCAACCGCAAAGCAAGAUAUUUCAAAAAGAAAAGAUUCAUCCCCAAUCGUCGCGGAUGCAAAAGGCCGAAAAACAAAUUGGUCAAUAAUGAGCAGCAGCAACCAAAUUCUGAGAAUUCGUCCUUAGACCGAGAAGCAGCAGAGACGCUGAGAGCCACUGAAGAAUUAGAAGAAUCGAAUAGGAGUGAAAAUCAAGGAGAGGUCAGCAAAACAUCUGUCAAAGUGCAUCAAGAAACCGCAUCAGUCAGCACAGAACCGCUUGUUCGAAAAAUGACGAUGGCUCAGUUAACCAAGGAGUUCCCAAAUCUUGCUCGAGUUGCAACUAAAGUAUUUACAAAGCAAGGAUUCUCGUUAAAUAAAACUCCUAAAGUCCCUAAACCUGACAGCGUGCCUUCAAAAGUUCAACCUAGUCACAGCCCUGAGAAAAAUGGGCCAGAUCCCCCAGCAGAAGGCCCAAGCACAGCUCAGUGUUCAGAUGACGCUGAUACAACGGCAGAGUGGUCACAACUAAUGCGGAAGCAACAAGAGGCUGAACAACACCAGUUAACGGUGGAACGUUUCCAUGUAGCAGGCAAUGAUCCAGGGAUAAAGAAAUUGCUGGGCCGCCGCAUUGUAGACAUUCAACAUAUUAUCACAGAGGCUCGAAAGUUAGAGGGACACGAAUGCAGAAUAAAACCAAACGUUGGUUACUUCUCCUUCUCACACGAAGUGCGGUGUGGUCUACAGUCAAUUCUCUGUUUCAAGUGCACUGAAUGUGGAAUGCAGCGUAACAUCCCAACAACAGCUGGGAAAUCAGAUGAAAUAAACUCUGCAGGUGUUAAAGCCAUAACAGCAAUGGGCAAGGGCCAUGAGCCUUACAAACGGUUUUUGAGGACACUUGCCAUUCCAGAGCCUACGUAUGGAACUUUCAAGAAACAUCAGGACAGAUUAAAGCAGGUAUGA
This 1745-nucleotide long non-coding RNA is filed under the name Bemisia tabaci. RNAcentral describes it as "lncRNA ENSSSA1NGG007119". Lineage: Eukaryota; Metazoa; Arthropoda; Insecta; Hemiptera; Aleyrodidae. The record is from RNAcentral.